RNAcentral lists this non-coding RNA (21 nucleotides) under Arabidopsis thaliana (thale cress). The record is from RNAcentral. Lineage: Eukaryota; Viridiplantae; Streptophyta; Magnoliopsida; Brassicales; Brassicaceae.
UCACUUUUACUUUCUUGCCUA